Molecule: long non-coding RNA, 333 nt
Organism: Symphalangus syndactylus (siamang)
Lineage: Eukaryota; Metazoa; Chordata; Mammalia; Primates; Hylobatidae
Source: RefSeq, a predicted model, not a curated record
CCAUAGGCUGUCCUGGUCCUUAGGUCUUUGGACUGAGGCUGGAACCACAUCCUCAGCUCUCCUGGAUCUCCAGCUUGGCAACUGCAGGCCUUGGGACAUUUCAGAUUCCAUAAUCAAAUGAGGAGCAGCUCUGCCUUGCUCUAGCCUCUGACUGCGGCCCCCCUCCCCAUAUUAGAUGGAGCAGAGUUACCCUACAAGAUCUAAGCUCCUGGAAGCUGCUGCCUGCUUCAGCCAGCAGUUGCCGACAUGCCCAUGUUCCACAGAGCCAGUAUAGGCCAGAGGGUGCCUUCCAGGCAGUUGGAGCCUCUAGCUGAUGCCAAGAGUGGCUUAGAG